AUUUGCCUGGUUCGCCAGGCAAGGACAUGGUGCGGGAUCAAUUAACACCAUUGUGAACCAUUGAAAUGUCUAUUGGCGGUCGUGAUUUGUUCCAUCAUUGAGGACGCUGACUCUUACGGGUCUUCUGCCUUCUACCUCUGCUAGGAGAGGCUCUGGUGGCUGAGAACUCUAUUAGAGUGAUCUGAUCGCGGCUCGCCAGCCUAGAUGAAACACCAUAUUUUUCUUAUCUGUCUUAAUAAAUCUCUCUUAAUUGAGAAACAAUGAGAAACAACUUUAGACAACGGAUCUCUUGGCUCUCGCAACGAUGAAGAACGCAGCGAAAUGCGAUACGUAGUGUGAAUUGCAGAAUCCAGUGAAUCAUCGAAUCUUUGAACGCACAUUGCGCCCUUGGGUAUUCCUGGGGGCAUGCCUGUUUGAGAACCUUGACGUACCUCACACCCCACCUUGGUGUUUUAGCUUCGGCGAAAUAAUCCUCAUAGGUGCUGGGAGUGGAUUUGGGCCUAGUCUUCUUCCUUGGUGGAGAAGAGGCCUUAAAUGUAAUGUCGACCGCAUUCUUCACUUUGGCUGGGUUUGCUUGAGGCACAUCAAGACGUGAUUAAUACCUUCAUUGGUUUGUCCUAACGUCGAUAACUGAGCCUCGUGAACUGUCCCAAUUGAUUGUAGCGCAAUCGCUCAUACCACAAUACAUUGCCAGGCAGUGAAGACAGAACCUCUAUUUGGAGAUUCUGAAUUGACUGAAUACCUGAACACCUGGUCUCAAAUCAAGACAAGAAAUACCCGCUGAACUUAAGCAUAUCAGUAAGCGGAGGAAAAGAAACUAACAAGGAUUCCCCUAGUAACGGCGAGUGAAGCGGGAAAAGCUCAAUUUUUAAAUCUCUCGGGUUCCCCGAGCGAAUUGUGGUUUAGAGAAGCGUUUUCUGGGGUCGCUUGAGUGUAAGUCCUCUGGAACGGGGCAUCAGAGAGGGUGAGAAUCCCGUCCUCAACUCAAUGCGCACUCCUCUACGAUACGUCUUCGAAGAGUCGGAUAGCUUGGGAAUGCUGUCCAAAAUGGGUGGUAAAUACCAUCUAAAGCUAAAUAUAGGCGAGAGACCGAUAGCGAACAAGUACCGUGAGGGAAAGAUGAAAAGAACUUUGAAAAGAGAGUUAAACAGUACGUGAAAUUGUCUAAAGGGAAACGCUUGAAAUCAGUCUUGCGCGCCUGAGAUCAGCCAUUCAUCAGGGUGGUGCACUCUCAGUCGUGCGGGUCAGCAUCGGUUUGGAUUGGGGUAAAAGGCUUGAGGACGGCGUUCGCGUCUGCCUGUGAGUGAUGCCCUGAACCAGACCGAGGAACGCAGUCAUGUUAUUGGAGAACCGCUCGCCUCUUUCUUCGCGGAGUCAGACAACUUGUUGACUGUCACUGUUUGCAGAUUGCGCACGGGCGGCUAUCACACCUUGACUUAGGAUGCUGACGAAAUGGUUUUAAACGAUCCGUCUUGAAACACGGAC
Molecule: ribosomal RNA, 1485 nt
Filed under: uncultured fungus
Lineage: Eukaryota; Fungi
Description: eukaryotic LSU rRNA
Rfam family: Eukaryotic large subunit ribosomal RNA (bases 752-1485)
Source: RNAcentral